GACGAACGCUGGCGGCGUGCUUAACACAUGCAAGUCGAGCGGUAAGGCCCUUUCGGGGGUACGACGAGCGGCGAACGGGUGAGUAACACGUGGGUGACCUGCCCUCCAGCUCUGGGAGUAAGCCUGGGAAACUGGGUCGUAAUACUGGAUAUGACUCCACGGUGCAUGUCGUGGGGUGGAAAGCCUUGUGCGGCUGAGGAUGGGCCCGCGGCCUAUCAGCUUGUUGGUGGGGUGAUGGCCUACCAAGGCGACGACGGGUAGCCGGCCUGAGAGGGCGACCGGCCACACUGGGACUGAGACACGGUCCAGACUCCUACGGGAGGCAGCAGUGGGGAAUUUUUCGUCAAUGGGCGAAAGCCUGACGAAGCAACGCCGCGUGGAGGAUGACGGCCCUAGUGGUCUUAAACUCCUGUCUAGCGGGACGAAAAAUAUUUGAGGUAAAUAAUCUCAGAUAUUGACUGUACUGCU
This 468-nucleotide ribosomal RNA is filed under the name uncultured bacterium. Its description in RNAcentral is "bacterial SSU rRNA". It matches the Rfam family "Bacterial small subunit ribosomal RNA", at positions 28 to 482 of the family's 1533-position model. The record is from RNAcentral.